GUGUUGGCUUCAGCAGCACAUAUACUAAAAUUUAAAUGGUACAGAGAAGAUUAGCAUGGUCCCUGUGCAAGCAUGACACACAAAUUCAUGAAACGUUCCAUGUGGAA
RNAcentral lists this small nuclear RNA (107 nucleotides) under Carlito syrichta (Philippine tarsier). Lineage: Eukaryota; Metazoa; Chordata; Mammalia; Primates; Tarsiidae. The record is from RNAcentral.